Molecule: long non-coding RNA, 889 nt
Filed under: Vigna radiata
Lineage: Eukaryota; Viridiplantae; Streptophyta; Magnoliopsida; Fabales; Fabaceae
Description: long non-coding RNA (VRAD_LNC010916)
Source: RNAcentral
CGUUUCCUAUUUUUAUUUUUUUAGUUUAUUUUAUAAGUAAUUAUAUUUUAACUUUUUAUUUUCAAUUAAUUUUGUUACGUUUGUUUUAAUUUUUUGUUUUAUUAGUUUAUUGUAUUUAUAAUUAAUUUAUAAAGUAUUUAAAACUAAUAAAAUAAAAUCUUAAAAUAUAAAUCUUAAAAAAAUAAAACUAAUAAAAACAAAUCUUAAAAAAUAAAACUAAUAAAAACAAAUCCUAAAAAAUAAACUAAUAAAAACAAAUCUUAAAAAAUAAAAUUAAUAAAAACAAAUCUUAAAAAAUAAAACUAACAAAAACAUAAUAUAAUCUAAAAACGCUUAAACGGAUCUGGGAAUCCGUCAACGGAUGUCAACAUCCGUUUAAGGAUAAACGGAAGUCGCCAUUCGUUUUAACGGUUUUACGAAAGUAUUACUAACCUGGACUCCAAGAGGAUCGCUGCUGAGGUUGGAUAGAACACCACCACACCAAUGUUGAGGUUGGAUAGAACACCACCACAUCAAUGUAAUGCAGAGAUAUAAUAAUUUAAGGACAAAUUCUUUCAGAACAAAUCGAUAUCUCAAUUAUCACUUGAAAUACAAGAAGAAUGGGAGAAAGAAUUUCUAGAAAAAUAGAACAAAGAAUUUGUGGGAAGAAAGCGUAAAGAUAAAAGCAUGAACAUAAAAAAAAAAAAGAAUAAAUAGGUUAUGUGGGGGUGAGAGAAUAAAAUUAUAAAAUUGUAUUUCUAAAUAUAAAUUUUCACUAAAGGAUAAAAUUGGAAUAGAAAAAAUAGAGGAAAGGGUAAAAAUAGAAUGGGGUGAGGGUUGGAAUUGGGGAGGUGCAGGGAGUAACCCCUCAUCAAUAUUGUAUUUAACAUGCUAUGGACAAGGUUAAAAC